AGCAGCCGCGGGAAUACGUAGGUGGCAAGCGUUGUCCGGAAUUAUUGUGCGUAAAGGGCUCGCAGGCGGUUUCUUAAGUCUGAUGUGAAAGCCCCCGGCUCAACCGGGGAGGGUCAUUGGAAACUGGGAAACUUGAGUGCAGAAGAGGAGAGUGGAAUUCCUCGUGUAGCGGUGAAAUGCGUAGAGAUGUGGAGGAACACCAGUGGCGAAGGCGACUCCCUGGUCUGUAACUGACGCUGAGGAGCGAAAGCGUGGGCAGCGAACAGGAUUAGAUACCCCCGUAGUCCCUGUCUCUUUACAC
This 301-nucleotide ribosomal RNA is filed under the name uncultured bacterium. RNAcentral's name for it is "partial 16S ribosomal RNA". It matches the Rfam family "Bacterial small subunit ribosomal RNA", at positions 510 to 809 of the family's 1533-position model. The record is from RNAcentral.